GAUGAACGCUGGCGGCGUGCUUAACACAUGCAAGUCGAACGAAGCGCUUGGAUGGAAUUCUUCGGAAGGAAGCUCAAGUGACUGAGUGGCGGACGGUGAGUAACGCGUGGGUAACCUGCCUCAUACAGGGGGAUAACAGUUAGAAAUGACUGCUAAUACCGCAUAAGCACACGUGAUCGCAUGAUCGAGUGUGAAAAACUCCGGUGGUAUGAGAUGGACCCGCGUCUGAUUAGCUAGUUGGUGGGGUAACGGCCCACCAAGGCGACGAUCAGUAGCCGGCCUGAGAGGGUGAACGGCCACAUUGGGACUGAGACACGGCCCAAACUCCUACGGGAGGCAGCAGUGGGGAAUAUUGCACAAUGGGGGAAACCCUGAUGCAGUGACGCCGCGUGAAGGAUGAAGCAUUUCGGUAUGUAAACUUCUAUCAGCAGGGAAGAAAAUGACGGUACCUGACUAAGAAGCCCCGGCUAACUACGUGCCAGCAGCCGCAGUAA
RNAcentral lists this ribosomal RNA (494 nucleotides) under uncultured bacterium. RNAcentral's name for it is "partial 16S ribosomal RNA". It matches the Rfam family "Bacterial small subunit ribosomal RNA", at positions 28 to 523 of the family's 1533-position model. The record is from RNAcentral.